AAAGCCCAGUAGUGCCAUCACCAUGGGGCCUCUGCCCCGUUCCCCUCUCAGGUGGAUGCAUCACCCAGGACCUUCGUCAGCUGAGCCCAAGGAGCUCCUGUGCCUAAAGAGCUGCCCACUGAUUCUGGUAGCCAGCAGAGCAGUUUGCUGGCCCAGCUGCAUCUCAGUGCAAGAGCAACACAGGUUAAGCAAAUUAUGAAAUAAAUCUGGAGAAUUAAAUAAUAGUGUUUCUUCCCACUGAAGACCUUCCUUUGUGGACACUGGGAGAGUGCUGGGGCUGACCUCUCUCCCUUGCUCUCACUGUGAGCUCGCUGCCAUAGCCCGAGGCUGGAAAAGCUGACAAGGGGCUGCCCUGGAACUGGUGUCAGGAUAUUAAAUGGAACAAGGAAAGAACUUUGUAUGGGAGUGACAUCCACGUGAAUCUGACCAGGGGCACCACCUCACUGCCCACCCACGUUAGGUCUGUGCCUGAGGUUCUGGCCUGAGGACCAGAACCCCGUGUUAGUCACUGCUAAUGAUGCACCUAGUGCAGGGCAGGCUGAGGGCUGCUGCCAUCCUGCUGCCUCUGUGCUUCCUCAUCAGGCAGCCCCGAGGUGAUUUAACACAAUGGGAUGGGAUGAGUGCUCAUCACUGGGAAGCCUGCAAAUGUUUGUAGUUAUAAUUAGGAAAUGUUCUAACACUCCUAUUAACCUGAUUGAUGUGAAGUCUUGCUUAGGCAGAAAACUGAUUUUUCCCCAAGUGACUCCAAAAGAAGAUCCAUUUAGUUUGAAAUGGAACUUAAAAGGAGUGCAAAUUACUGAUGAUCCCUGUAACCAAUGAACAAAUUAUUGGCGCAUCUUCAAGGGUUUGUCAUGAGGGAAGAAACCCCAAAAUGAGGAUGUAUGCUAUGAGAGAGUGACACUUUUUUAUCCUGUAGGUAGGACCACAGCAGAGUCUGCAUGGACAUGUGCUGCAUCCCACACCAGGCUGUGCCACUGGUCCAAAGCAAAGCUUGCUGACACUGCCCCAUCCAUACUCACUAUCAAAUUUAGGACAUGUCUGUCCUAAAAGGACAAGAUCAUUGUAUAAUUGUGAGCAGAAGAACCAAAUAAAAAGCUAGGAUGGCUUUACCAGUGCA
Long non-coding RNA from Passer domesticus (house sparrow), 1117 nucleotides. RefSeq lists it as uncharacterized. The record is from RefSeq and is a predicted model, not a curated record. Lineage: Eukaryota; Metazoa; Chordata; Aves; Passeriformes; Passeridae. The transcript has 3 exons.